RNAcentral lists this long non-coding RNA (652 nucleotides) under Elaeis guineensis (African oil palm). Its description in RNAcentral is "long non-coding RNA (EGUI_LNC035395)". The record is from RNAcentral. Lineage: Eukaryota; Viridiplantae; Streptophyta; Magnoliopsida; Arecales; Arecaceae.
CCUCUUAUCUCUCUCUUCCCGAUCUCCUGACCCGCCACCUUCUCUGCCCCCGCACCUCUGCGCUACCACCUUCUCUUCCCGUUUCUUUCCCUUUCUCUUCUCUUCCCUUUUCGUUUCUCUUCGCACGACCUGUCUUCCCACCUCUGCGCACGACCGCCUCCUUUCCGUUUCCGCCUCUUUCCCGUUCCUUUCCAUUUUCGCCCGCACGACCGCCUCCUCCGCCAUCCAAUCUCCGACAUCGCCUUCUCUGCGUCCGCCGUCCGAUCUCCACCUGUCUUUCCACCCCAUCCUCAUCUUCCCAAUCUCAACCCCACCACCCGUCAUCCACAUCCGCCGUCCUCACCAUCCUCACCUCACCACACCACCCCGGCAUUCGGUCGUUCCCGACAUCACCUUGGCACCCGUCCGUUCCAUCCGCCCAUCCUCCGUGCACAUCGCCGCAGCUUCGAUCCGGCACCCGAGCAUCAUCCGGCACCCGUUCCCCUCCACCGCCGUGCACGCCGUCAUCCGCCCCUCUGAUCACGCCAUCUCCUCCGAGCAUCAUCGCCGCCGCAGCCAUCUCCGUGCACGCUGCCACCUCCAUCCACGCUGCCGCCGCCGCCCUGACACCACCCUGAGUUCACCAAUCUUUCCUUUUCUCUUCGCAUCCUCC